GUGAACCUUUACUAUAGCUUGACACUGAACACUGGUCCUUGAUGUGUAGGAUAGGUGGGAGGCUUUGAAGCGUGGACGCCAGUCUGCGUGGAGCCAUCCUUGAAAUACCACCCUUUAAUGGCUGGUGUUCUAACGUAGACCCGUGAUCCGGGUUGCGGACAGUGUCUGGUGGGUAGUUUGACUGGGGCGGUCUCCUCCCAAAGAGUAACGGAGGAGCACGAAGGUUGGCUAAUCCUGGUC
This 240-nucleotide ribosomal RNA is filed under the name Enterobacter hormaechei subsp. xiangfangensis. Its description in RNAcentral is "partial 23S ribosomal RNA". It matches the Rfam family "Bacterial large subunit ribosomal RNA", at positions 2093 to 2332 of the family's 2925-position model. Lineage: Bacteria; Pseudomonadati; Pseudomonadota; Gammaproteobacteria; Enterobacterales; Enterobacteriaceae. The record is from RNAcentral.